Molecule: long non-coding RNA, 2768 nt
Organism: Capra hircus (goat)
Lineage: Eukaryota; Metazoa; Chordata; Mammalia; Artiodactyla; Bovidae
Source: Ensembl
GGGACAGGUUGCCAUGGUGAUCUCCUACCCCUUCCAGAUAGAACUUCUCAAGGAUGUUGCCCUUGGGCCUGAAAUAGUUCAGGCCUGCUCUCAGCUGCCGCAGGAGAAGCUGAAAUAGGGAGCCUCACUUCCUCACCUUUUCAACUCACACAAACUGAACCCUGGAGAUGAAAAGUUGCAGAACAGAGAAUAAUAUUUGUUUGGUGGAAAGUUUAUGGGAACAUUGUGACCUGACCUAUGUGGACAGCUACAAGAACAAAGGAUUCCAGCACCAAGAAGUUUUCAAUAACCACCCUCCUUCCCCUUUUAGUAUCAAAGAAGCCGCAAUUCUACUUCAGUUGCUAAGGAGUUGGCAACGGCCUGGGGAGCUCAAAGCUAUAGGUGGACGAAGGACGAGUCAGAGGUGUGCUGGUGUCCAGGCCAGGGUGAAGAUGACCGAUGAACCGCUGCCUCGGACGGCAGUGGUCUGGGCAGUGACUGAGGACACAAUGGAGGCUGCACACGGGGGCUUUGGUCCAGAAGGGGCAACAAGAUGUGCAGUCCGGAGUGGACGGAUGUGGGCAGAGAACAUGGGAGAUUCAGUCUCUUGGAAGCCCUCGGAGAGAGGCAAGAGGGGGCCAGGAACCCCAGAAAGGAGGCAGCUGGCAUUCUGCUUCCGCACUGGUGUCAGUGUUGGAUCAGAGUCUUUCUCUCUGUUGAUGGGGCCGCAUUUGGGCACACAAACAGCAGAAGCAAACCCCUGUGUGUUAUUGUGGCAGUUCUUGGAGAUUCCUGUUCACCCAUGAAUCUCUUUACUGGAGACCAUUUCUAGAGGUCAUGAUCAUUGACCUCUUGAUUGAAAGGAUUUUUUUUUUUUUCCCUCUUUUUCCCAGCAGGAGGGAAAAAGUUCCUUUAGAGGGGAAAAAAUAGUGAAAAGAAAAUUCUAGUAAGUAACAUGGAAGGCCCUUCUUGUAUGUGGUAGCUAAAUGAAUGGGUUCUCAGAGUGAGGUCAGACUUUUGGAAAAUUAAGGAAGCCCUGUUGAGGGCAGGAGUCUUCCCAGGUGUCGCUCGUGGUAAAGAAUCUACCUGCCAAUACAGGAGAUACAAGCGAUGCGGAUUUGAUCCCUGAGCUGGGAAGAUCCCCUGUAGUAGGAAAUGGCAACCUACUCCGGCAUCCUUGUCUGGAAUAUUCCAUGGGUGGAGACAGGAGCCUGGCAGGCUACGGUCCAUGGGAUUGCAAAAGAGUCAGACAUGACUGAGGACUUGUCAGCAGUGAUUCCAGGGAGGGGAGGGGCAAGAGAGGUGGAAACAGGGGACAAAACCGAGAACCCAGGACCAAAAGGCUCCCUGCCUGCCUUCUGGAGACUAAGGGUUGUAAUUUCAAAGCUGAAUUUGGAGUGAUAUUCAGUUUUUAUAUAUAGGCUUCAUAUUUGCUAUAGUUCAGCUCAGUUCAGUUCAGCCACUCAGACGUGUCUGACUCUUUAUGACCCCACGGAUUUGCCAUAGUAUUUGCAGUUAAUUAUGUUUCCUCCUCUAGUUUUGUGUUAAGAGGAAUCACUGUUGUUCCAGAUAUUUUUCUCAGAUUAAUUUGUGGGGAGCAUGUGCUAUCUGAAGUGGGGGUACCCCAAAAGGAAAUGGUACUUACCCAACACAGGGCUUCAGGUGGAUGAGCUUAGUCAUCUCACAACCUAUCUUCAAAAGUAAACAUCAAGAAAUUUUUUUUAAAUUUAUUUUUAAAUUUAUUAUUUUGAAAGAAAUUAAAAAAAAUUUUAUUUGGUUGCACUGGGUCUUAGCUGGGACAUGCAAGAUCUUUAGUUGCGGCAUGCAGACUCUUAGUUGCAGCCUGUGGGAUCUAGUUUUCUGACCAGGGAUUGGACUUGGGUCUCCUGCAUUGGGAGCGUGGAGUCUUAACCACUGGACCAUCAGGAAGUCCAAAAACCUUUUUCUUAAUUUCAAAAUAUAUUUAGGGUUACAUGAAAGAAGCAAGAUUCAGAAAGGUGAUACUGUAUAAUUCCAUUGACAUGAAGCCCAAAAACAGGUAGAAACUAAUAUAUGAUUGUAAAAAUCAGAAUAGCAGUCACCUCUGAAAGGGCUUGACUGUCAAGGGCUCAUGAAUGUUCAUGAAGAAACUAACUGGGUUGAUUAAAAUGUCUUUCAUCUUCUUUUAAAUAUGGGUGUUCUUGUUUUAUAUAUUUUUCAAAACUCAACAAAAUACACACUUAAGACUUACGUAUUUUCUGCAUACAGAUUAUAUUACAACAAUAAUUAAAAAAAAUUUUUUUAAGGUACAGUGAGCCUUCAAGUUUUAGAUGAACUAGCUUGGAUUACUGGCUCCCUUCCUUGAAAUCAAACCUGGAGAAACUAUGGAAGCCAGAAGGAAACAGACUCCAGAAUCAACGGAAAAUAACAAUGAGGCCACCAAAUUAACCACGAAUUCUCUCUGCACCUCUGCCCCUACCCCAGACGGAGGCUGCCGUGAACCUGAGUGUGGGAGGUGGGUGCCUGCAGGCUGUGAUAGACCGAGGAAGCCUGCAGUGGGGGGUGAGUCUGGAGGAAAAUGGUUUUGCUUUUUUUCUUUCUUUUUUGGAUCUGUGUGUAUAUUUGGACAACUACCUGUUUGAUCCAGACUUACUUGUUUUGGUUUAUGUGUCUCCUUUGCUUCUCCUUGCCUUCUGGUGUCUUAGAACGAAGCUUCACCUUCCCAGGGUAGGUACCUGUUGCAGGAAAAAUAGGGCACCGGAUGAUGGUCAUGUCCCAGGUCUCGGGCAAGUCCACAGGAUAGGCUGCCA